Long non-coding RNA from Urocitellus parryii (Arctic ground squirrel), 2616 nucleotides. RefSeq lists it as uncharacterized. The record is from RefSeq and is a predicted model, not a curated record. Lineage: Eukaryota; Metazoa; Chordata; Mammalia; Rodentia; Sciuridae.
GACCGCGCCGCUGACGCCUGCUCGCGCACCCGYGCGCCGGGCCUGGAGGGGCUGCCGCUGAGAACCCUUUGGCAGAGAGGAAAUGUCUGCGUGCGCGAGGGCCCGGCAACCUGCAAGUGUCUUCCGGCCCGGGUGGAGGGUGGUGUUGAGGUGCUUGGUGAGAGGGGCUGGGGCGAUUAGGCUUGGGAGGGCGCGACUGUGAAAGGAAAAGAAAGCCGCAAAACACAAAGCGCCUGUUCAGCCUCGGGCGUGUUCCUCUCCAGCUAGAUCCUCGCCACGUCCUCACCAGGUCAGGAUUAACGUGAAAAAUGAAGCUGAGCCAGGCCGUGCGAUUUAGCUGAACUCAGCUGUUAAGCGGCUGAAUCAGAAGUUGACCCCAGGCCAGGAAGUCUUGCUUCCAGGGUUGUUGCUGCCGGGCCAGAGGCGGCUUGGGGUCACUCGCAGCUAACUGAUUUGAGACCUUUAAAGCUGGCAGCAAAAGCGUUUGCCCAUCCAUCCACCCAUGCAUUCAUUCCUUCGCUCAUUAGUCUACUCCUUCAUCCAAAUGUUUGUUAAGCACCAACUGUAUGCCAGGCACUGUGCUAGGUGCUGGAGAUGAACCCUCGAAGAACCAAGUCCCGGCUUUCAGGGGCUUAGACUCUAGUCGAAGACAAAGAGCAAGUAAACAAGUGGGACACUAUAACUACGACUGGCCAGGGAAUAGACCAGUGAAGGAGCAGCAGGAAAUCUCCAGGAAGAGCCUCCUAAGGUGGUCACAUUUCAACAGAGACCCAACUGAUGCAAAGGAGGUAAAACUGCAAGUACAAAGGUCCUGGGGACAUAUAUAUUUGCAAAUAAGUGAUAAUUUAAUGAGCAACUCCUUUAUGAGCCCUUAUAUGGAUGUGAAAACUGAGGCUGAGAAACUUCAACUGGCUCAAGGUCGUACUGCUGAUCCCCAGCAGAGGAAGGACCAGCACUCAGGACAGAGGAAGCCGGAAGCCCUCACCCAGAAGAUCCCACUCAUCACCUUUCUCGACAGCAGUUUCUGCCAAGCAUCUCCACUGGUCCCACUCAGGGCAAGUGCCGUUUCUCCCCUGGGUAGCCUCGGCAGCCUGUGUUCUGACCCUAGUCUAGUCACCAUAAGGCAGCCAGAGUCGACUCAAAAUGCCCUCAGCUAAAGCCUUCAAGUGGCUCCCCAUUCCCUCUGGACAACAUAGAUGGUACAAGCUGAAAGACCAUAGGUUAUCUCCAGGGAGGACACCUGUCACACUGAAGGGGUCUAUUGCAUUCCCUCCAGGAUAAUGGAAACGGGGUCUGUCCUGGACUUUGGGUCAUUGUAAAGGGUCAGUAGCAAGUAGAAGCAUGUGGGCAAGCUAGGAUGGAUGGCUGCCCUCCCUGCAAGGAUGUACCCAUAACGGACUAAGAUGGGGCCCGUGAAGUGUCCAGGGCAGAGAAUUUAAGGAGGUUUCCACUCGGGUCCUAACUGCACUUGUGAGGCCGACUGAGGGCCUGCUUGCUUCCCCCCAGCCUGGCUCUCUUCAGGGAGCACAACCUUUUCAGAGCCCUCUCUCCGCAGGGCCUUUGCCUGUAUUCUCAGAUCUAGGAUCACCUCUUCAGGAAAGCUUUCCUUGGUUCCUCCAAAUGGGUCAGCUUCAGCUACAAUCGGCUCCCAAAAUGCCAGGUGUUCCUCCUUUUUCAGCCACACACAAUGCAACCUGACGUUUUAUGUAGCACAGGAUACAGAUUUGAUUGGGGGAGCACAUUAAAUAUGUGUCCUGGACUUUGGGUCACUGUAAAACAUCAGCAGCAAGUGGAAACAUUUGGGCUGCAGAGGUAGGCGCCCCUCUGAAGGGAAAUCUUCUAGGUUCACGUCUUUCUUUACCACGUACUUCACUGCACGACUUUCCGGGCGGCAGUUUCUCUUUGAACGGGAGAGGAAAGUAUCGACCCACAGGGUCGCUGUCCAGAAAAUACUUUGAGAAAACCCCUUGGCACAGGGAGAAGCAAGGGACGCGAGAAAAAAAAAAAAAUGGCAUUUAUCAAGCCAUUAUAUCCUGCUUUCACUAGCUCCCAGCUGGAUGCAGCCACCCCUUGGGACAGCCCCAUUGCAAAGAUGAGCCGACGGAGACCCAGAGCCUACGGGUGGAGGAAUGAGGAUUCAAGCACAAGUCCCUUUCCACGAUGCUCAGAAGAUCCACCAGGCGGGUCCUUGUUGGUCUCUUGCUGCGGUGCCUCAGAGCCUGGCCCACRUCAGCCGCAAAUGAACCUGUGCCAGAUGGCCUCCUGGACUGGGGUCAGUCCUCGUGACUCUGCCAUGAUCUACAGGGAAGGCUGCCGAGUSGGGUCCCUUCCCCAAGCGUCUGGAGCCUGUCAACACUGAUUCAUGGCCUCAGGUGACAGCCCCCAUCCUGAGGCCAGGGCUGGGGGAGCUGGGAUGGGCCAGGUGAGCCCCCACCUGGCCCCCAGGGACAGCGGGCAGCCAGGUUAAGCAGGCUCCUGCCUGUUAUAAAUAUAUACGUACAUCCAACAUGGCGUUAAAAUAUCACUCCGCGUUACAGAGAAGGUAUUAAGGCUUUCUAUUAUUUACAUUAAACAAGCAAGCACCUUUAAAAAAAAAAAACCAGAACAAAAAGCCCC